CUCUAUAAUAUGUGUUGCACCAUUCGUUUCUCCUGUCUCUGGAGCAAAAAAAUUAUUCUUUAAUUUCUCACUCAAGAAAUCGAGAACCAAAUUCGAGAGAGGGAGCUAUCGAUAAUUCUCUCAAAAUCCGUUGAAGGGUUAUCUUUGCAUGGUAAAGUUGGAGAGAGAAUUUCAAGUUAAGGAAAUUAGACGAACAAGGUGAGCUUUCUUAUACGAAAAAUAAAAAUCGUAUUAUAUGAAAACUGGAACACAUGUUCGUGAUUUUUAAAGAUGUUGUCUUGCCAUAAAUGUUUUGUGUAUGAUGCCUA
Salvia splendens (bonfire salvia) is the source of this 308-nucleotide long non-coding RNA. RefSeq lists it as uncharacterized. Lineage: Eukaryota; Viridiplantae; Streptophyta; Magnoliopsida; Lamiales; Lamiaceae. The transcript is spliced from 3 exons. The record is from RefSeq and is a predicted model, not a curated record.